GGGUUGUGAGGUUAAGCGACUAAGCGUACACGGUGGAUGCCCUGGCAGUCAGAGGCGAUGAAGGACGUGCUAAUCUGCGAUAAGCGUCGGUAAGGUGAUAUGAACCGUUAUAACCGGCGAUUUCCGAAUGGGGAAACCCAGUGUGUUUCGACACACUAUCAUUAACUGAAUCCAUAGGUUAAUGAGGCGAACCGGGGGAACUGAAACAUCUAAGUACCCCGAGGAAAAGAAAUCAACCGAGAUUCCCCCAGUAGCGGCGAGCGAACGGGGAGCAGCCCAGAGCCUGAAUCAGUGUGUGUGUUAGUGGAAGCGUCUGGAAAGGCGCGCGAUACAGGGUGACAGCCCCGUACACAAAAAUGCACAUGCUGUGAGCUCGAUGAGUAGGGCGGGACACGUGGUAUCCUGUCUGAAUAUGGGGGGACCAUCCUCCAAGGCUAAAUACUCCUGACUGACCGAUAGUGAACCAGUACCGUGAGGGAAAGGCGAAAAGAACCCCGGCGAGGGGAGUGAAAAAGAACCUGAAACCGUGUACGUACAAGCAGUGGGAGCACGCUUAGGCGUGUGACUGCGUACCUUUUGUAUAAUGGGUCAGCGACUUAUAUUCUGUAGCAAGGUUAACCGAAUAGGGGAGCCGAAGGGAAACCGAGUCUUAACUGGGCGUUAAGUUGCAGGGUAUAGACCCGAAACCCGGUGAUCUAGCCAUGGGCAGGUUGAAGGUUGGGUAACACUAACUGGAGGACCGAACCGACUAAUGUUGAAAAAUUAGCGGAUGACUUGUGGCUGGGGGUGAAAGGCCAAUCAAACCGGGAGAUAGCUGGUUCUCCCCGAAAGCUAUUUAGGUAGCGCCUCGUGAAUUCAUCUCCGGGGGUAGAGCACUGUUUCGGCAAGGGGGUCAUCCCGACUUACCAACCCGAUGCAAACUGCGAAUACCGGAGAAUGUUAUCACGGGAGACACACGGCGGGUGCUAACGUCCGUCGUGAAGAGGGAAACAACCCAGACCGCCAGCUAAGGUCCCAAAGUCAUGGUUAAGUGGGAAACGAUGUGGGAAGGCCCAGACAGCCAGGAUGUUGGCUUAGAAGCAGCCAUCAUUUAAAGAAAGCGUAAUAGCUCACUGGUCGAGUCGGCCUGCGCGGAAGAUGUAACGGGGCUAAACCAUGCACCGAAGCUGCGGCAGCGACGCUGAUGCGUUGUUGGGUAGGGGAGCGUUCUGUAAGCCUGCGAAGGUGUGCUGUGAGGCAUGCUGGAGGUAUCAGAAGUGCGAAUGCUGACAUAAGUAACGAUAAAGCGGGUGAAAAGCCCGCUCGCCGGAAGACCAAGGGUUCCUGUCCAACGUUAAUCGGGGCAGGGUGAGUCGACCCCUAAGGCGAGGCCGAAAGGCGUAGUCGAUGGGAAACAGGUUAAUAUUCCUGUACUUGGUGUUACUGCGAAGGGGGGACGGAGAAGGCUAUGUUGGCCGGGCGACGGUUGUCCCGGUUUAAGCGUGUAGGCUGGUUUUCCAGGCAAAUCCGGAAAAUCAAGGCUGAGGCGUGAUGACGAGGCACUACGGUGCUGAAGCAACAAAUGCCCUGCUUCCAGGAAAAGCCUCUAAGCAUCAGGUAACAUCAAAUCGUACCCCAAACCGACACAGGUGGUCAGGUAGAGAAUACCAAGGCGCUUGAGAGAACUCGGGUGAAGGAACUAGGCAAAAUGGUGCCGUAACUUCGGGAGAAGGCACGCUGAUAUGUAGGUGAGGUCCCUCGCGGAUGGAGCUGAAAUCAGUCGAAGAUACCAGCUGGCUGCAACUGUUUAUUAAAAACACAGCACUGUGCAAACACGAAAGUGGACGUAUACGGUGUGACGCCUGCCCGGUGCCGGAAGGUUAAUUGAUGGGGUUAGCGCAAGCGAAGCUCUUGAUCGAAGCCCCGGUAAACGGCGGCCGUAACUAUAACGGUCCUAAGGUAGCGAAAUUCCUUGUCGGGUAAGUUCCGACCUGCACGAAUGGCGUAAUGAUGGCCAGGCUGUCUCCACCCGAGACUCAGUGAAAUUGAACUCGCUGUGAAGAUGCAGUGUACCCGCGGCAAGACGGAAAGACCCCGUGAACCUUUACUAUAGCUUGACACUGAACAUUGAGCCUUGAUGUGUAGGAUAGGUGGGAGGCUUUGAAGUGUGGACGCCAGUCUGCAUGGAGCCGACCUUGAAAUACCACCCUUUAAUGUUUGAUGUUCUAACGUUGACCCGUAAUCCGGGUUGCGGACAGUGUCUGGUGGGUAGUUUGACUGGGGCGGUCUCCUCCUAAAGAGUAACGGAGGAGCACGAAGGUUGGCUAAUCCUGGUCGGACAUCAGGAGGUUAGUGCAAUGGCAUAAGCCAGCUUGACUGCGAGCGUGACGGCGCGAGCAGGUGCGAAAGCAGGUCAUAGUGAUCCGGUGGUUCUGAAUGGAAGGGCCAUCGCUCAACGGAUAAAAGGUACUCCGGGGAUAACAGGCUGAUACCGCCCAAGAGUUCAUAUCGACGGCGGUGUUUGGCACCUCGAUGUCGGCUCAUCACAUCCUGGGGCUGAAGUAGGUCCCAAGGGUAUGGCUGUUCGCCAUUUAAAGUGGUACGCGAGCUGGGUUUAGAACGUCGUGAGACAGUUCGGUCCCUAUCUGCCGUGGGCGCUGGAGAACUGAGGGGGGCUGCUCCUAGUACGAGAGGACCGGAGUGGACGCAUCACUGGUGUUCGGGUUGUCAUGCCAAUGGCACUGCCCGGUAGCUAAAUGCGGAAGAGAUAAGUGCUGAAAGCAUCUAAGCACGAAACUUGCCCCGAGAUGAGUUCUCCCUGAC
Molecule: ribosomal RNA, 2802 nt
Filed under: Escherichia coli
Lineage: Bacteria; Pseudomonadati; Pseudomonadota; Gammaproteobacteria; Enterobacterales; Enterobacteriaceae
Description: bacterial LSU rRNA
Rfam family: Bacterial large subunit ribosomal RNA
Source: RNAcentral